RNAcentral lists this long non-coding RNA (5546 nucleotides) under Podarcis lilfordi (Lilford's wall lizard). The record is from RNAcentral. Lineage: Eukaryota; Metazoa; Chordata; Lepidosauria; Squamata; Lacertidae.
AUGAAACAUAUUGGGAUGUAAAUCUCAGAAGUUGUGGAAGCUGUUCUAGUUCUCAUGCAAAAUCUUGGCAGUAGAACAGAAAACUUGGAGAUACUGUGUAUUUGGCUUCUAAAAUGAAAUAUAGAAACCCAAGAGAUUAAAAUGGGAAAUUCAUCUGCUGAAACAAAGAGAAGGGGAGCCAAAGUCAAUGGCAUGAAGUGCAGAUAGAUACCAAGAGCCCCUCAGCUGAUGUCUUCUGGCACCAAGGGAAACAUUUCUCAUUGGUAUUAGUGAAUCUGGGGGCAUGAUGAGAGAUGGAGGACAGACUUAAAAAAACAACAACCAAAAUCACUACGUUUCAUAGGGGGCAAUUCAAAAGAAAGUAAACAUCUGCUGUGCAGCAUUGGCAGCAAAGAAAGAGUCACAUAAAAUAUUUCUUCUGAGUUGAGGGUUCAACCAUAUAAUCACAGUGAAAAUGAACAUCUAGAAUCAGUUGCUAUCAGAUUUAGGGCAUAGUCAAAGGAAAUUGAUUCAUUUCUGGACUAGAUUAACUUUCUACAGUAUAAAAUGGAGAAAAAUCUGAAUAGCCCAAUUAUGUGCCUGUUCACUAAGGAGUGAAAAACUAAGUUUUAACUCCUGUUUCUCAUCUCUGAAUGCCAUACUGUAUAUCACUAUUUUACUGUUUCAGACAUAGGGAGGGUAUAAGAGACUGAACAGGUUGGAUAGUGUAUGGUUCUGAGAGAGAAAGGUUGUAGAGUUGAUAAUCUCGUCUCCAUUCAAACAUACACCUACCGUUCUUUGCUUUCCUUCCAACUCACACUAGCCUGCAAUUAUUCUGGGUACUCUGGAAUUCUGCUGCAGUCCUGGAUUGGGCCUGUUAUGAAGCAGCCUGUAAGCUGAAUGCAAAGCUUUUGAACAUGACCUCAGCUGGUGAAGGGAUAGUGAUCAGUCCCCAUUAUGCAAACAUAGGUUGGACUUUUCACUACUAAUCAAAGUUCACCCAUUACUCCACUUAUUGGCAGUUACUCCUUUAUUCUAAUCUUGAUAUAUGGCGAACAUUAAAUAAGGCUAUACACCAUAAGUUAAAUGCGCUUUGAGGGCUUCUUGACUUCGUGUACAUUUAGAGGUUUGAGACAUAUAAAUGUGUGCAGGCACGUUUGAAACAAGCCAGAUCUGCUUACUUUUCCAACUUAAUUGCAGAACGGGCAGACUGCCCUGCUCUCCUGCAACUUUUUAAUGUAGGGAAACUGUCAGACCUGGCUCUUCCUCUUUCAGCAGAAAUGUGUGAGCUGCUCCCAUCCACUUUUAGGACAAAAUUAAGAUUACUGGUGCAUUAAAAAAAAAUCUGGUACACAAUGAUUAUAUAAACAUCUGCAAUUUUAAAAAUGUGGGCACAUUAUGAGAUGCUUCUUUUAGGACAUCCUUGAAAAACCAAAGAUGCUCUUCUGUUCAUGAAAGGGUUUCUUCUGACCAUGCAGAAGAGCGCUGGGUGGAAAAGUGACCGUGAAUCCAAAUAAGUUGUUCCAUUUGCACAAUACCCUGCAUAACACGUUGUACAAGCCUUUUCUGAAGACCUUUUUAUGACUCACUGGAGUUUAUAUGUUGCAGCCUGUAUCAUUUCACAGGCCCAAAGCCUUCCUAUUCUUCUUACACUCCCUGCAAAAAAAAAAAAAGGAAAAUAUGCUACUUUCAUGGAUGCUUUAGGUGAGAUUCCUCCAUUACAAAGGGUUGGACUAAAUGACCCUUGGGAGUCGCUUCCAAUUUUACGAUUGUAUGAAUCUAUGAUUGCUCAGCCCAGAGAAGUAGUUGGUUCACCUAAUAAUAAUAAUAAUACACUAGUUUUCUUCAAUAGGACAAAAUGAGCUUAAAGCUCAACUGGUGUCUAAAUCUGCUUGUUUUCUUUUUCUCUCCGAAUCCCUUUCUCCUUCUGUGUCAUGUCUUUUAGAUUGUUAGCCUGCGGGUAGGGACUGUCUACUUUGAAAGCCACUCCAGGACUCUUUGUCAGAGGUGAAAAAAAUGCUUUUAAGUAAAUAAAUUGUUUGUGAGUAUACUUGAAGUUAGGCAUGAAAUGUUGCAUUUACACCCACAGGUAUGUGAAAUAUUUGGAGAGCGAAGUGAACAAAAUGUAAAGAUACAAUAAAUCAGAUGUUACAGGAUUGCUUUUAGAACCCAAAUGUUUUAAGAUUGAUAAUCCUGUUUAGCUCUCCAAAUCCCAUUGGUUCAUUUACCAUGCUAUUAAUAGACCAAGUGAUUGCCAUCAUUAAUAUCUCCCACUUAUUUUAUCCAUCAAUAUCCAGACCCAUUUAAAGAAGUUUAUAGCCCCAGGAGCAGAAAUUAAAAGCAUAGGUUCAGAAAAAUAUAUAAGGUUCAGAAAUUAUAUAUAUAUAUAUAUAUAUAUAUAUAUAUAUAUAUAUAUAUUUCAGAAAAAUAUAGGAACGAACACCUGUUGAGAGGACGAAUAAGUUCAAUCAAUCAAUAUAAGUUUAUUGUUCUAGCCAAAGGCCAUGACAGACCUUCAGCAACAGUACCAAUAAAAAACAAUACAGAUCAUAUAACAAAUGUCUAAAACUGUGCACAGAUGAAAAGCAUGGACAAAAAAUACAUUGAAAUAUGGCGUUGAAUAAUAAUGUGCAAAGUGGGUUUGCAAGAAGGGUAACAAUAAAAUAACUGCAUAGGAUUUGAAAGGGAUGAGGGCUGAGGCAAAGUGGGAAGAAGAAUUAUCAAGUCAUAUAAGGAAUAUUGUAAGAAGUGGUUAAUUCAAUAUAUAAUUGAAGAGAAAUGAGAAAAAAUAAAUCAGCAAGAACUACAUAAAGCAAAAUGAAUAUGACAAAAUGGCAUGCAAAAGAUAAAGAGAAGGGUGUAGAGUUGUUGGCAACCACCAAGCUGUGGAUUUUUAAAUUCAUAUAUUUUAUAGUAGACAUCCUGGCAGCUAAACAAAGAACAAAUAGGUGCAUAUAUUAGAACAAGAAGCAAAAUCACAUUGUCGCCUUUCUGAAGCCUGUAAAAAUGAACUUUUAAUUUCAGUGGAGUCGAGACUAUACUUCUUACUGAUUCUCACAGCCAUAUUGAACUAAAGGUAAUUCAGUUUCUUCCCCAAUGAUUUUGUUUGACUCUUUCCCAAAUCCAGGGAUUCAUCCCACUGAAAAGUGACAUUUUGAGAUACAUAAAAAUGGUCAUAUUUGGAGGUCUCCAAUUUCAGCUGUGCUGAUAUCAUAUUGAGCUUUAACAUACCUGCGUUCUGCUUUUAGAUUUCACAGAUGUGCAUUACCAAUUGACCCACUCUGGCACACCCAUUCAAUAUAUGUCCAAAUAUUGCCCCCAAAUUCUCCCUUCCACUUAGGGAACCUCUACUGAAUAAAACUAUAUGUGCAAUAAGAAAAGAGGCAUUUUGGAUUCUCCUUGUUAAGCAUCCAACAGUGCAGUCCUGCACAUCUUUACUCAGGAGUGGGUUUCACAGUAUUCAUUGGGGCUUACUCUGUAGUAAAUGUGUUUAGAAGUUCUUCAACCUUGUUUUCAGGUUCUUCACUGCCAAGUCAUCUCAUGCUGAAGUUCUGAAGGAGUCCAUCUCUCUUCCCAUGAAUUAUUUCUCUUGGUGUAUUCCAUUUACCUUCAUUACAACUUGUUCCUUUACCUGUGUCUUGGGCAUCUAUUUUGCAUUAGGGUUAGGGUUAGGUCUUUAUUAUCUUCUCACAACUGCAUGUUACUGUGUGUUUCAUUGUACAUGAGUUUCCAUUCCUUUCCACAGAGGCAGCAAAACUGUCUGCAGAUGGAUCAGAUGCCUAAGUUGAAAUAAAUGUGAAGAACCAUUUUAUGGCCUGGGGGAAGUUAUGCAUACACCAGAGUUCUUGCACCGGUAGGAAAUGUGCAAAAAUCCAGGUCUUUCUUAUACAUUGCAAUCCUAUACAUAAAUGGAGAAGUAAGUUCAGUGGGACAUUCUCCAGCAAGUGUGUUUAGGAUUGCAGCCAUUAAAAGCUAAUUUCCUUAUUUGCAUUCUUCCUAGAUGAUUUUGGAUUGACCCUGAAAAGAGAGUGCAUUUUUUUUGGGGGGGGGGGGGGGGAAUCAUUGUGCUACAGACAUUGAAAAGGUAAGAGAUUUAGAUUUUCUCUUCCCCCAACCCUAAACUUUUGGAAUUAGUUUGUACUGUGUGUGUUUUUUAAAGAGCUGCCAAAAUGCUGAUUCAUUCCACUUUGUAGAUUAGAUUAUUUUAAAUGUCUUAUAGAGUCAAGCCCUCUUUAUGUCUUCCUCAAUUUGCCACAAUAUUUUGAAAUUGUCCGGGACAUUCCCAUAAGUGAUCUGAGUUUCAUCAAGCUGAAAAUGAAGUCACCAAAGCAAAGCCAUUUCAGUGUUCUUCGGGGUUUUAGGUUUUGCCUUUCUUUUCCUUUUUUUAAUCAAAUCACAGUUCCAGCCAGGUUGUUUCAUUCUUUCCCAUACAUACCACAAAGGAUACACAAAGUUAAUCAAGUGUGGCCAGAUGAAAAGCUGCUUAUGUUGUGUGUAGGAACUGACAUCAAGCAUUAUUUCAGUGACAUCAUGAGAGAUUUUUAGAAUUGGCAAUUAAAUGGGGGGAAAGUGGUUCUAAAUAAUUCUGGAAAAAUGACAUGUGAUGUGGUUCUAUAAAAAAAAAAGUUGGUGUUUCUAGGUCAAAUUUGCCAGAUCUGAAAUUACACAGGCAAUUUCAUUGCACCCCCUUUUCACUGCAGCCAAUCCCGAACUUGAAAUUUGAAAACUCUGCCUUCAUUAGGCACUGAGCAAAAUCCAAAGAAAGCUAAAUCAGAUUAAGGGUGCUUCUAAGUGGGAAACUGCUUAGGUAGGUAUACUGACGUAGCAAACCUGAUACAUGCAAGUCAUCCAUGCAGAUUUCUUUCUGCACCAUUGCUUGUGCCAAAGGCAGACCAAAGAAUUAGCAGCAGGACUGCACCAGUGUCACUGCACUGCAUGGGAAAAAAUUGUGCGUAAAGUCCAGUGUGAUAACUGGUAGGGUAGCAUUUUUCCUUGUACUUUCAAAGAGGUAAUAAAACAUGGAGCUGGUGGUCCUGAAGAAUGGUAUCUAGCUGCAUUUUAAAUGCUCAUGAAGCCAAUGGCUUCAAUCCUAAAUUUCUCCCUUUCAUAUAAGGAGAGCACCUAUUCCACAAACACCCACUCCAUCUGCAUCCCCUGCCCCGCAACAUAACCCAAGCAUUUGGAGGGAAAGAGGAAGCUGGUGAGUGUGGUGCAGAAAGCUGUAUCCUGAAAAAAUGAACCCAGUAAUAGUCAUGGGAAAAGUUAAGAUCAAAGCCACUUAAUUUCCUCAUUCAAACUUACCUUUACCUGUAUUGUAUCCACCCUUAUAAAAUGUAAUAAAUGUUUAGUAACAUCAACUUGGUUUUAAAAUACGUUCUUUGUGCUCAUACUUGGAGGAUACAUCCUGUUUGUUCUUCCUCGUGUACAUGAAAAUGUUUGCAGAUCUUCCCUGGGGCCAAUUGAAGAAGUGUGAAAUGAUUUGCUAGGGAGACCACUUUGUAGACAGACACUCUCAAGUAGAAUAUAUAUCAUCAUUUUGUGAUAUAAUCAAGUAAAUGUUGACAAUG